GUUGAACGCUGGCGGCAGGCCUAACACAUGCAAGUCGAGCGGUAGAGAGAAGCUUGCUUCUCUUGAGAGCGGCGGACGGGUGAGUAAUGCCUAGGAAUCUGCCUGGUAGUGGGGGAUAACGUUCGGAAACGGACGCUAAUACCGCAUACGUCCUACGGGAGAAAGCAGGGGACCUUCGGGCCUUGCGCUAUCAGAUGAGCCUAGGUCGGAUUAGCUAGUUGGUGAGGUAAUGGCUCACCAAGGCGACGAUCCGUAACUGGUCUGAGAGGAUGAUCAGUCACACUGGAACUGGGACACGGUCCAGACUCCUACGGGAGGCAGCAGUGGGGAAUAUUGGACAAUGGGCGAAAGCCUGAUCCAGCCAUGCCGCGUGUGUGAAGAAGGUCUUCGGAUUGUAAAGCACUUUAAGUUGGGAGGAAGGGUUGUAGAUUAAUACUCUGCAAUUUUGACGUUACCGACAGAAUAAGCACCAGCUAACUCUGUGCCAGCCGCCGCGGUAA
This 500-nucleotide ribosomal RNA is filed under the name uncultured bacterium. RNAcentral describes it as "partial 16S ribosomal RNA". It matches the Rfam family "Bacterial small subunit ribosomal RNA", at positions 28 to 523 of the family's 1533-position model. The record is from RNAcentral.